GAUGAACGCUAGCUACAGGCUUAACACAUGCAAGUCGCAGGGUAACAUGAGGAAAGCUUGCUUUCCUUGAUGACGACUGGCGCACGGGUGAGUAACGCGUAUCCAACCUUCCCAUAACUACGGGAUAACCCGUUGAAAGACGGCCUAAUACCGUAUGAUAUCGUUUGCUGACAUCAAAUAACGAUUAAAGGUUUAGCGGAUAUGGAUGGGGAUGCGUCUGAUUAGCUUGUUGGCGGGGUAACGGCCCACCAAGGCGACGAUCAGUAGGGGUUCUGAGAGGAAGGUCCCCCACAUUGGAACUGAGACACGGUCCAAACUCCUACGGGAGGCAGCAGUGAGGAAUAUUGGUCAAUGGGCGAGAGCCUGAACCAGCCAAGUAGCGUGCAGGACGACGGCCCUAUGGGUUGUAAACUGCUUUUAUGUGGGGAUAAAGUGCGUGACGUGUCAUGCAUUGCAGGUACCACAUGAAUAAGGACCGGCUAAUUCCGUG
RNAcentral lists this ribosomal RNA (490 nucleotides) under uncultured bacterium. RNAcentral's name for it is "partial 16S ribosomal RNA". It matches the Rfam family "Bacterial small subunit ribosomal RNA", at positions 28 to 507 of the family's 1533-position model. The record is from RNAcentral.